UACAGAGGGUGCGAGCGUUAAUCGGAAUUAUUGGGCGUAAAGGGCGCGUAGGCGGCUUUGCAAGUCAGAUGUGAAAGCCCCGGGCUUAACCCGGGAAUUGCAUCUGAAACUGCUUAGCUUGAGUCCUGGAUGGGGUAGUGGAAUUCCCAGUGUAGCGGUGAAAUGCGUAGAUAUUGGGAGGAACACCUGCGGCGAAGGCGGCUACCUGGACAGUGACUGACGCUGAGGCGCGAAAGCGUGGGGAGCAAACAGG
This 253-nucleotide ribosomal RNA is filed under the name uncultured bacterium. Its description in RNAcentral is "partial 16S ribosomal RNA". It matches the Rfam family "Bacterial small subunit ribosomal RNA", at positions 524 to 776 of the family's 1533-position model. The record is from RNAcentral.